GGGCCCGUAGCUCAACGGCAGAGCGGGCGGCUCAUAACCGCUUGGUUGCAGGUUCGAAUCCUGCCGGGCCCA
RNAcentral lists this transfer RNA (72 nucleotides) under bacterium HR14. It matches the Rfam family "tRNA". From Rfam's summary of the family: Transfer RNA (tRNA) molecules are approximately 80 nucleotides in length. Their secondary structure includes four short double-helical elements and three loops (D, anti-codon, and T loops). RNAcentral also lists the same sequence under 1 other name. The record is from Rfam by way of RNAcentral.